CCGCGACUCGCCCGGGCAGGGGGGUGGGUAGGUGGGGGGCCGAAAGAAGCAGCCCGCGGGCAGGUCGCGAACAGCAGCGCUGUUCUUCGCCUCAGUCAGACGCCAAGGAAAAGGCAGCUGCGGCGGCGGUCCUGCUAGCAGCCCAGAAGGGCUUGGGCGUGAGGGCGCUCCAGCUUCUGCAUCUCCAGGCGCCCUUCCAUCCGACNCUUCAGAACCUCAUGAAUCAUCUCUACUCUGAUUGCUGCUCUCAGUUACCNUGUUUCAGACCUCUGCAAAUAGCAAAGCAGCAGAACCCAUUUUGCUUGAUGAAAUUCAGUUCCCACUUUCUGUAUGCUGGCACCUGGCUCAGAAAAUAUCACUUUUCUCGCACAUGCCUUCUGAUAUGUUACCAGUAAUUGUGCUCUCAAAAACUGAACAACACUAGGAAACAGCUUGAAAGUACGGAGCAAA
This 450-nucleotide long non-coding RNA is filed under the name Salvator merianae (Argentine black and white tegu). Its description in RNAcentral is "lncRNA (ENSSMRG00000009503.1)". Lineage: Eukaryota; Metazoa; Chordata; Lepidosauria; Squamata; Teiidae. The record is from RNAcentral.